RNAcentral lists this unclassified non-coding RNA (281 nucleotides) under Hevea brasiliensis (rubber tree). Lineage: Eukaryota; Viridiplantae; Streptophyta; Magnoliopsida; Malpighiales; Euphorbiaceae. The record is from RNAcentral.
AUUUUUUUUUUUUUUUUUGGCUUUUAGUUUAAAUUUCAAAGCUGGUGAUUAUGAGUACUUAAUGGUUUUCCGAUGUGCUUAUUGAAGCAAUCAAGUGAUUGGCCUGGACCAACAGUAACUUUUCUUAAUAUGCUUUUGUUAUGUAUAUUUUGCCUUGUUUUGUUUUGCUCCCUAUACAGCUCAAUUUAGGAAACCUUAGGCUUUAAAAGUAUAAAUUGGACGUUUCUAAAGAUUUUUUUGGAACACGUUUCUAAUAAUUGUUUCAUGAUGUGAAUAAUAGU